CCUGAGAAACCUAAAAGUUCGAAAAGAGAGAUUCAACGUCAGCAUGUGCAAUAUUCACGUGGGUAGUGAUGUGUAUACAUUUCCAUGUUAUUUUAUUGUUGUACUAUUGUCGGCGUGCACUUCUCUCUUAGUAGGACGUCCCGACCCGUUGAGUCUUGGCCUACGGCUCAGACUUUAGUAAUUAAUUUUACUAAAGACCUCUGGUACUAAAGACCUCUGGUGUACUCCUGGCUAAGUGCUCGACGGGGUAUUAAGCCGCAUUUUAUUAUGCGUCUAUGCGUCUGGCCUUUCGCAAGUUUUUGACAGUCUGUAUAAUCAUAGACUCUGUGCUAUGUGUACGGAUUGUGCUCUUAGACUGUGCUUAUAUACCUGUCAGGGACGCUUAGGCUUUGGGUACUCUCAGGACCCGUCUUGAAACACGGACCAAGGAGUCUAACAUGUAUGCGAGUCAUUGGGUAUAUAUUUUCCAAACCUAAAGGCGAAAUGAAAGUAAAGGUUGUA
Molecule: ribosomal RNA, 501 nt
Filed under: Therophilus sp. 4 EGC-2017
Lineage: Eukaryota; Metazoa; Arthropoda; Insecta; Hymenoptera; Braconidae
Description: eukaryotic LSU rRNA
Rfam family: Eukaryotic large subunit ribosomal RNA
Source: RNAcentral